Molecule: long non-coding RNA, 2244 nt
Organism: Phyllopteryx taeniolatus (common seadragon)
Lineage: Eukaryota; Metazoa; Chordata; Actinopteri; Syngnathiformes; Syngnathidae
Exons: 3
Source: RefSeq, a predicted model, not a curated record
UAAGAGGUAGUACUGAUUGCGGCGGCUCACUGAAACUUACUCGUGCAACGGUGGGGACUCCCAUGGAGGGGCGGGUGCCGAACAAACACUACAGAAGAGGAGACCCCGCCACUGUGAUUGUUCCAUCUGUUGGUGAGCCAGAUGGGUGGGACCAUAUUACCGUCACCGGAGCUGGCAGAGCGGGCUCGACAGCACCGUGUAAGGCCUGUGUCCCACUGAAUAGAACCGGAGCUCAGUAUGGAGUAACUCUGAUCUGGGAAGUCCCCCUGCAGCCAUGUUUCUGUUAUACACACAGCACUGGUCUCCAACGGGUUUGAAUCAGUAAGUACUCCCUUAAUUCCCAAACCUUUCCCCCAUUGUACUACACAGGAUAUCCUCCUGUGCUCCGCUGGGAUGAUGUGUUGAGCUCCAGGCACGUAUGUUGAGGAGAGCACUAGAAGCUGGUUGCAUUUGAUUGGAAACACACCACUGCUGAACACCGUGCUGUCCAAUAGAGAUGGUGGAAGUUCAACCACCACUGAGUCCCACUACUGAGGAUGAGCCUCUUUCAACCGACCCCGCUAAAUUGCCAUCACCACCUGACAAAAAAAGCAUCUGCAAAGAGCUGCUUUAUAGAGAAACAAGUAAGGUUCCAGCGGACUUGGUUUUCCCCAGGAAUAACAGGGAUGGGAGAAGUUGUCACUGCCACUAUUUCAGAGAACACUGACAAAUGGGGAAAAUAGGGUCAGGAGUUUGAUGCUGAUUCCAAGUACAACAACAGCCCCUUUUGCUUCUACUGUAAGUUGUUUUCUAAAAGGAAGAUACAAUUGACAACUUCAGGACUGGCAGAUUUGGCAACAUGCAAGGACUUUACUCAUCUGACAUAAAAGAAACCAUGAGCACAUAAACUGAAUGAAAACAUGGAAAGAGGUUAACGAGAGGGGAAACAAUUGAGAAAUUAAGAAAUGGCACUUUUGGAAGUUGAGCGGGAGAGAUGGAGAGCAGUGCUGACACAUCUCACUGUUAUUGAACAGCCACUGGUAGUUUGUAACUUGGCACUCAGGGGACACCAGAAACAGUUUUUACACCACUGAAUGUUUUUUUAAGAGGUUGAACAUACACCCAUGUUUGACUCAAAAAUUAACACAUUAACUAUAUUGAAAGAGGAACUGCCCGUCACACCAGCUACCUUGGUCAGCAUUUCCAAAUUAGCCCGUUCAUUUGUAGAGAAGCAAGAUCAUUUCAACAAUAGCGAGUGAAAUAAAGCAGGCAAGUUUUUUUUUUUAAAUGUUGUAAUUCUGAUUACACUGCUGAUGCCGACCACACAGAACAAUUGUCAGGUGUUAUUUGCAUAUGGGAAGUGGAAGAGACAACUUUUUUUAAAAUAACCAUUUCAUGGGAUUUUUGAAGGCAGUGGACACCACGAGCAAACAUUUGGCAUCCCUGAUUUUAAAGAAAUUGGAUGAAUUAGAAAUUCAAUUUGAAGACUGCAGAGGACAGUCGUAUGACAAUGGGGCAGAAUCUGGUUCAACCCACACUCUUACAAAAUAAUCCCAGAGCUCUUUUUGUGCCAUGUGAAGCACACACUUUGAAUUUGGUCAUUUCAGAUGCUCCCGAGGAAUCAAUUGAAUUCAUAGGCUACUUUGGUGUCAUUCAAAAGCUUUAUAACCUGUUUUCUUCCACACAAAGAUUAGUUGCUCUGAUAAGGCAUGUGAACCUCACCUUCAAGAUGUGGACAGAAACAAGGUGGGGCAAAAUUAAGGGCACUGAGCUCACAAGGUACCAUGCAGCAGCAGUGCCAGAAGCACUGAUCAAGGGGACAGAACCCACCAAAGUGUCAUGGUCUGUGUUUUGGUUUGGGUUGUGUUUAGUUUUGUUCAAUGUUUUCCUGUGUUCCAUGUUUGUCGUGUGCUCAUUAGGUUGUUGUGUCCACCUGUUCUCGUCUACUUUGUCGACCAAUCAGCUCUCUCUAGCCACUCGUCUUGUCCAGGUGUCCCUCGUUGUCUCGUCAAUUUGUUUGUAUUUAGUUCCCUGGUUUCUUUCAGUUCUCGUCGGUUCAUUGUCGUUGUCACAUGUCUUGCCAUGUCAUUGUCGCUCAGGUAUUUCACCAGUCAUGUCUUGUUUCUUGUUUUGGGUUCACUCAAGUGUUUCUUUGUUACUUUGUGUUUAGAUUUUGGACUUUGUUAAUUUAGCAUUUAGACUUUUUCAUGCUCUUUGUUUUCCUUUGUUUUUGGAAUUAAAUAUUAUUAUUUUGAGAUUCCCGCA